This 412-nucleotide RNase P RNA is filed under the name Betaproteobacteria bacterium. Its description in RNAcentral is "RNase P RNA component class A". It matches the Rfam family "Bacterial RNase P class A". Rfam says of the family: Ribonuclease P (RNase P) is a ubiquitous endoribonuclease, found in archaea, bacteria and eukarya as well as chloroplasts and mitochondria. Its best characterised activity is the generation of mature 5'-ends of tRNAs by cleaving the 5'-leader elements of precursor-tRNAs. Cellular RNase Ps are ribonucleoproteins. The record is from RNAcentral. Lineage: Bacteria; Pseudomonadati; Pseudomonadota; Betaproteobacteria.
AAGCCCGCCAGACUGCCGCUGGUGCAAGCCGAAAGGUCGGUGCGUGAGCGCCGGGUGGAAACACCGCAUUGGAGGAACGUCCGGACUGCACAGGGCAGCGUAGCAGCUAACGGCUGUCCGCUGAAACCCGGUUGCGCGAGCAGUCGGCAUAAGGCGAGGAUCAGAGCAACAGAGACGAGUCGCCGAGCAGGGCAACCUGUUCGGCGGGUGAAACGGGCAAUCUCUACGCGCAGCAAUACCAAAUAGGCACACGCGGGACGCAGCAGUUCGCUGCCGCGUCCUACCCGGGGCCCCCGGGAUGUGUGCGGGUAGGUAGCACCGAGCCGCUGGGCGACCAGCGGCCCAGAUGAAUGGCAGUCACGCUAGGGGCAACCCCGGCGCACAGAAUCCGGCUUAUCGGUGGGCUUCACAC